Molecule: ribosomal RNA, 254 nt
Filed under: uncultured bacterium
Lineage: Bacteria
Description: partial 16S ribosomal RNA
Rfam family: Bacterial small subunit ribosomal RNA
Source: RNAcentral
UACGUAGGGGGCAAGCGUUGUCCGGAAUUAUUGGGCGUAAAGGGCGCGUAGGCGGCCUCUUCAAGUCGACUGUGAAAUCUCCGGGCUUAACCCGGAACGGUCAGCCGAUACUGCAGGGCUAGAGUGCAGAAGGGGCAACUGGAAUUCUCGGUGUAGCGGUGAAAUGCGUAGAUAUCAAGAGGAACACCAACGGCGAAGGCAGCUAGCUGGACGAGAUCCGACGCUCAGGCUCGAAAGUAUGGGGAGCAAAAAGG